GACGAACGCUGGCGGCGUGCCUAAUACAUGCAAGUCGAGCGAAGCGGCGGAUGGGUGAGUAACGCGUGGGUAACCUGAAAUUAAGUCUGGGAUACCAAUUGGAAACAGAUGAUAAUAACGGAUACUAAAGGAAGGACCUGGGAUGCAUUAGCUAGUUUGUAAGUUAACUGCUUACCAAGGCGAUGAUGCAUACCUGAGUUUAGAGACUGAUCGGCCACAUUUGGACUGAGACACGGCCCAAACUCCUACGGGAGGCAGCAGUAGGGAAUCUUCCACAAUGGACGAAAGUCUGAUGGAGCAACGCCGCGUGAGUGAAGAAGGUUUUCGGAUCGUAAAGCUCUGUUGUUGGUGAAGCGGUAAUCAACCAGAACGUCACGGCUAACUUCGUGCCAGCAGCCGCGGUAAUAC
Molecule: ribosomal RNA, 408 nt
Filed under: uncultured bacterium
Lineage: Bacteria
Description: partial 16S ribosomal RNA
Rfam family: Bacterial small subunit ribosomal RNA
Source: RNAcentral